UUACCCAAUCACGACACGUGGAGGUAGUGACAAGAAAUAACAAAGCAAGCCAGUAUUCUGGUUUUGCUAUUGGAAUGAGUAGAAUUUAAAUCUCUUUACGACUAUCAAUUGGAGGGCAAGUCUGGUGCCAGCAGCCGCGGUAAUUCCAGCUCCAAUAGCGUAUAUUAAAGUUGUUGCGGUUAAAAAGCUCGUAGUUGGAUUUCUGUUGAGGACGGCCGGUCCGCACUAUGUGCGUGUAUCUGGUUCGGCCUCGGCAUCCUCUUGAGGAACGUUUCUGCGCUUGAUUGCGUGGAGCGGUAUUCAAGACUUUUACUUUGAGGAAAUUAGAGUGUUCACGGCAGGCAAGCGCCUUGAAUAUGUUAGCAUGGAAUAAUAAUAUAGGAUCUUGGUUCUAUUUGUUGGUUUCUAGGGCUAAGGUAAUGAUUAAUAGGGAUAAUUGGGGGCAUUUGUAUUAACGCGUCAGAGGUGGAAUUCUUGGAUUGCGUUACGACAAACUACUGCGAAAGCAUUUGCCAAGGAUGUUUUCAUUGAUCAAGAACGAAAGUAUGGGGAUCGAAGAUGAUUAGAUACCGUCGUAGUCUAUACCAUAAACUAUGCCGACUAGGGAUUGGAGGUCGUUCUUUUUAUGACUCCUUCAGCACCUUAUGAGAAAUCAAAGUCUUUGGGUUCCGGGGGGAGUAUAGUCGCAAGGCUGAAACUUAAAGGAAUUGACGGAAGGGCACCACCAGGAGUGGAGCCUGCGGCUUAAUUUGACUCAACACGGGGAAACUCA
Molecule: ribosomal RNA, 772 nt
Filed under: uncultured marine Syndiniales
Lineage: Eukaryota; Dinophyceae; Syndiniales
Description: SSU rRNA
Rfam family: Eukaryotic small subunit ribosomal RNA
Source: RNAcentral